This 920-nucleotide ribosomal RNA is filed under the name uncultured marine bacterium. RNAcentral describes it as "bacterial SSU rRNA". It matches the Rfam family "Bacterial small subunit ribosomal RNA", at positions 79 to 994 of the family's 1533-position model. The record is from RNAcentral.
UUCGGAUAUGAGUAGAGCGGCGGACGGGUGAGUAACGCGUAGGAAUCUACCUAGUAGAAGGGGAUAGCCCGGGGAAACCCGGAUUAAUACCGUAUACCUCCUUCGGGAGAAAGAAGGCCUCUCUUUGAAGCUUUCGCUAUUAGAUGAGCCUGCGUAAGAUUAGCUUGUUGGUGAGGUAAAGGCUCACCAAGGCUACGAUCUUUAGCUGGUCUGAGAGGACGAUCAGCCACAUUGGGACUGAGACACGGCCCAGACUCCUACGGGAGGCAGCAGUGGGGAAUAUUGGACAAUGGGCGCAAGCCUGAUCCAGCCAUACCGCGUGUGUGAAGAAGGCCUUCGGGUUGUAAAGCACUUUAAGCAGGGAGAAAAAGUUAUAAGUUAAUACCUUAUAACCGUGAUGUUACCUGCAGAAUAAGCACCGGCUAAUUCCGUGCCAGCAGCCGCGGUAAUACGGAAGGUGCAAGCGUUAAUCGGAAUUACUGGGCGUAAAGCGCGCGUAGGUGGUUUGUUAAGUUGGAUGUGAAAGCCCUGGGCUCAACCUAGGAACUGCAUCCAAAACUAACUCACUAGAGUACGAUAGAGGGAGGUAGAAUUCAUAGUGUAGCGGUGGAAUGCGUAGAUAUUAUGAAGAAUACCAGUGGCGAAGGCGGCCUCCUGGAUCUGUACUGACACUGAGGUGCGAAAGCGUGGGUAGCGAACAGGAUUAGAUACCCUGGCAGUCCACGCCGUAAACGAUGACAACUAGCUGUUGGGAGACAAUGUCUCUCAGUGGCGCAGCUAACGUUUUAAGUUGUCCGCCUGGGGAGUACGGCCGCAAGGCUAAAACUCAAAUGAAUUGACGGGGACCCGCACAAGCGGUGGAGCAUGUGGUUUAAUUCGAUGCAACGCGAAAAACCUUACCUACUCUUGACAUAUUUGGA